Molecule: long non-coding RNA, 1739 nt
Organism: Bos taurus (domestic cattle)
Lineage: Eukaryota; Metazoa; Chordata; Mammalia; Artiodactyla; Bovidae
Source: Ensembl
UUCAGAGAAGAGCCACAGCAGAGGGUGUCGGGGGAGGGUCUGUCCCGGGAAGGCCCCUUAGGGUCCUGCCCAGUUUCAGGAUCAUAAAAUAAGACAUUCCUUGUCAGCUGUAUGACAGGAACUGGAAAACAGUAAAUCCCCAGCGAGCCACGCGGGCUUUUGUUAUUAGUAUGUGAGUUAUGGUGCAGUCAGACCUCCUUGUUACAGCUGCAGAGAUGGAGCCUGUCAAAGACGCUCAACAAGGAGCAAUAUUGAAGAGGAAAAGUGAAAAUUUUUACAUAACCUCCUGCUUGUCCUGCCUCUGUAGCUCAGCUUACUCCUUACAAAUUCUGGAUCACGUAGGUCAGGAAGUCUCAGAAAGUGGGGACUUACAAUGCUAGGAAUUGGAGCUUAUCUCACUCACCCUCGUCCUGCAAUCGCCCGGCCCCUGCAAACCUGCUUAAUCAUGCCUGUUCAUGUAAAGCUCAGGCAUUCCCCUCCCCGUCAAGAUUGCUGUUCCGGCUCGCGAAACUUCUUAGUUUAAACCAGCAUAUAGCAGCUAGUGCUGCCCACUAUCGUCUGUCUAUAAAAACCCUGUAACUUCUUUGUUUGGGCCUCAGAGCUUGGAGUGUUGACACAUCUGGGCCUGCCCGCGUGAUUAACCUGAGUUCUCCACCUCUCCGAGUGUGCUGCUUGGUUCCCGCGUGAUUAACCUGAGUUCUCCACCUCUCCGAGUGUGCUGCUUGGUUUCCCACGUGAUUAACCUGAGCUCUCCACCUCUCCGAGUGUGCUGCUUGGUUCCCGCGUGAUUAACCUGAGCUCUCCACCUCUCCGAGUGUGCUGCUUGGUUCCCGCGUGAUUAACCUGAGCUCUCCACCUCUCCGAGUGUGCUGCUUGGUUUCCCGACCACCGGUUUCAAGACCCCACAGGAAAGAGCGCACGGCUACUCCUUUCGCAGCAUGCCAGACACCACGCUGAGAAACCCGGCUCCAUAAAACCUCUGCUGUAAUGAGAAUGGAAUGCACCUCGGUGGCCCGCUCCAUCAUCAGAUGGUUUGCCUUAACAUGCUUGAAAUCCCGUCUCAGAAAAGCCCAAACAUCUCUCUCCGUGACUCCUUGCAGUCUCUAGCAUAUAGGGCACACUUUUGGUGUCUUGAACUUGUAUUCUAGGAUCUAACAUUUGCAAGAAGCAACAUCUCAAUGAUCCUACUGGAACUUUUAUUAUGGAAAACACUGAAAACACAUAAGCUUAGAAAGAGGGCUUCCCAGGUGGCUCAGUGACUGGUGGUGUUAUGGAGUCCAAGCUCACUCUGCUAGCCACACGAUGGGCCGAUGAAGCCGAGAGAGGAGAUGUUGGGGCAAGGAAGAGACUUUAAUCGGGGAGCCAGCAGACUCAUAAGAUGGCAGGCUAGCGCCUCAAAAUAACCGUCUUAUUGGAGCCUAGAUGGCAGGUUGUUUUAUAGACCAGAAAGAAAGAAGCAAGGAGGAGCUGAAUUCAAAAGGCAGAAGGAAGAGGGAGAUGCAGUGGGGAAGUAAAGUGAAAGGGUCUUCAGUCUUGUAAAACAUCUCCAAGGGAACGUCCAGCCUUCAGAAGGGCGUGUUAUCCCUCCUUGAGCCGAACAAAGGCAUUUAAGUCUACAGUCAAGCAGAGGGGCAGGGUCCUCCAGGCAAGCCACUGAGUAAGAUUAUAAUAAUAAAUAAUAAUUUUUUAAAAGGCUUCCCUUGUGGGUCAGCAGGUAAAGAAUCCACCUGCAAUGUGGG